This 528-nucleotide ribosomal RNA is filed under the name Pterygoplichthys pardalis (Amazon sailfin catfish). Its description in RNAcentral is "partial small subunit ribosomal RNA". It matches the Rfam family "Bacterial large subunit ribosomal RNA", at positions 1921 to 2610 of the family's 2925-position model. The record is from RNAcentral. Lineage: Eukaryota; Metazoa; Chordata; Actinopteri; Siluriformes; Loricariidae.
AGUUAAACGGCCGCGGUAUUUUGACCGUGCAAAGGUAGCGCAAUCACUUGUCUUUUAAAUGAAGACCUGUAUGAAUGGUGGAACGAGGGCUUAACUGUCUCCCCCUUCUAGUCAAUGAAAUUGAUCUACCCGUGCAGAAGCGGGUAUAAUAAUACAAGACGAGAAGACCCUUUGGAGCUUAAGACAAAAGACCAACUAUGUCAAAAGUCCUAAAAAGACUAAACCAAAUAGCUCUGGUCCUAAUCUUCGGUUGGGGUGACCACGGGAGAAAACAAAGCUCCCAUGCGGACUGGGAUAUUUCCUAAAACUAAGAGAGACAUCUCUAAGACACAGAACAUCUGACCAUAAAGAUCCGGCUACAUGCCGACCAACGGACCAAGUUACCCUAGGGAUAACAGCGCAAUCCCCUUCCAGAGUCCAUAUCGACAAGGGGGUUUACGACCUCGAUGUUGGAUCAGGACAUCCUAAUGGUGCAGCCGCUAUUAAGGGUUCGUUUGUUCAACGAUUAAAGUCCUACGUGAUCUGAGU